Molecule: long non-coding RNA, 1089 nt
Organism: Macadamia integrifolia
Lineage: Eukaryota; Viridiplantae; Streptophyta; Magnoliopsida; Proteales; Proteaceae
Exons: 3
Source: RefSeq, a predicted model, not a curated record
AGGUGUUUCCCGUUAACUUAAACCCAAUUUUUUCAAAAUACCGUUAUUUCUUUCUACAACCUACGAAAGAACAAAGACUUUGGGGCUUUCUUUCCAACUUGGUCUGCGAUUCCUCACCAUAGCUUGUUCCGGCAAACAUCAAGUUGUUUCGGCGACGUACGUUCCUCACCGUAGGUUGUUCCGGCGAAACAGGGGUAUGCGAUUCUUACUGCGAGGGAAGAUUAUUGAACAAAAAACUUGGAAAGGUCUGUGAUUCUUUCGAAUGGUUUCGUUUUCCAGCGACGAAGGAGCUUUCCUCUUCUCAUGUGUUCGUUCUCCGACAAGGGAAGGUCUGCGAUUCUUCUCCGGUGAGGGUUUAUCGGAUGUCAUCACCCAGGUAUUCCCAUUCGUCAGAGAUGUUGUGUGAGACAUAUGUAUCAGAACUUCAAGUCAACUUUUUCAGGACAACUAUUUAAGAAACACUUUUGGUCAACAUCAGCAAGUACUCUCCUCCAGUUUAAGAAAGAAAUAGAAUCUAUCAAAGAGUUUAGUGAUGAAGCAUUUAGUUGAAUGAUGGAUGUUCCUACAAGAUUCUGGGUUAGGCAUGCAUUUGAUAUUAAUGCAAAGAGUCCUCAAAUCACCAACAACAUGACCAAGUCAUUCAACCACUGAAUAUAAGAUGUGAGGGACAAGCCUGUUAUAGUGAGAAAGCGAAAGGUUGAGAGUCAACAUGGAGGCACCAGCUCUCAGAUGAUGUCUAGGUCACAAUCAUCUACCUAGCCUGCAAAGCUAAAAACUCAAGAGAAAACCUUGGUCAUGUAAGCUGCCAAGUACACAAAAUAGAAGGCAAAGCAAGCUAAGAAGUAGAAAGAUGGAUGUUGUUGUUGAUGAGAGCAUAAUGUCUUCAAGGGUCGUCCGCUGCAGUUGAUGAGAGCACUUUUGUGGGAUGAAUGGAUUUUAAUGUAUUAUGAAAGAACUUUAAAGAGAUUUGUGACUUGUAAUAUUUAUGUGCUAAUGUUUGUGAGAUUUAGACUGUUUGUGUGAGACAUCUUAAAUGGUUUUUUGGACAUGUUAUAUAUAUGAUGUUGAUGUCGUUUAAGAAUUUAAGCA